RNAcentral lists this long non-coding RNA (1703 nucleotides) under Homo sapiens (human). Its description in RNAcentral is "DLG1 antisense RNA 1 (DLG1-AS1)". The record is from RNAcentral. Lineage: Eukaryota; Metazoa; Chordata; Mammalia; Primates; Hominidae.
AGGGGGAGGCGGGUCGGGGGAGGGCAGGGGAACGGAAGGGGUACCCGGGGAGCAUCCUAAGGGAACCUCUUCGCUUAAAAGGGCGGCCGCUGAAGUGGCUCUGAGAACAAAGGAGUUAACACUCGGACUCCACAGGUGGCCCGGGGUGGCCCUGGAGGAGCCCGCCUUUACCUUGCCCUAGCCCACCGGCGCGUCCCGCAGUUCCGAACUAAACGCGCCAGGCCGGGAAGGCUCGGGCUGUCUGAAGAGAGGCGUGACCUCGCCUACACCAGAUCCAAGGCGCACAUACCGAGACACCCCUCAACCUCACUCAGCAGUGCCGUUUCCAACUCCGCGGCAGAGACAGCGCCUGGCGACCCCGGGGCCUGCGUCCCCGCCCGGUCAGCAUCGCAGGUGUUACCCAAACUCUGACGGUCCCUUUAAGAACUCACCCGGAGUCGCGCCCUCCGAAGCUGAGCCGCCCUCGGCCAGCGCUGCAGGCCCCAGCUUAUAAAUCUAUGAAGGUGUCCAGGUCCUGCCAGACUCCGCUGCAUCUUUUGCUUUCACUCCAGCAGGGUAGCAGCAUGCUGCCUGUGCCAAGGCAAUCACUAAAAGGAAAGGAUUUAAUGCUGUCAAAAAAGCUUAUGCCAGCUUAGGCUGCAGGAAGAGGAACAGUGUCAAGUAUGUUGAAAGUGGACAUAUUGGUCAGACCUCCAUGAGAGCCUAGGGGGCAUUGCUUAGCAGCACGCUUUUAAAGGAAUCUGAACAAACCAGCAUGUGGAAAGAAGAGAGUAACCACAGCAAUCAGGAAACAACUGUACAAUCUAGGGCCAUUUCAUUGGAAAAACAGAAGUCUCCAGGGAGCUGCAGUCAUCAAACAGGCUUAUUCUGUGUACCCAGUGGGCAAGUACAGUCAAUGGAUGAAAAUUCAACCAAUGGACAAACACAGGAAGUUUUUCCUUAACAUGAGUUGUCAGAAACUGUCCAAAAUUCCAAAGAGCUGCCUCAAGGUAGUGGAAAUUUUUUUUUUUUUUUAAUCAGGAAGGUGCUGAAUGAAGCCAGCAAGGAUUCUGUGUCAGAGGGUGGUAGAUACCCAGGACAUAAGGUUGAACCACGUGACCUCUGAGACCACAGUUCUAAGCUGUUGAAACCUCAGUCCCUGCUGAAUACUGAAAUGGUAUUAGCACCCUUUAGUCUACAUCAAGAAUUCGUUCUACCCAGUUUUGGUGGUACCAAGACUGAUCUCUUUCUCAUAGAUAAUUCUUAACAGAAUAAAAGCUACAGGUUGAAACCAAUUCCCUUUAAAAUGUGGACAGUUGACCAUCUCCAUGAUAGGUAGUUAGGCACUGAAUUAAUGCUUUUUAAUGGAAGAGCCACCCUAAGAUUCCUGGAGUGUGGUAUAAUGGAGUACUAAAUCAGCAUAGGACUAAUAACUGCCUCCCGUGUAAACUGGUCUAUCCGGAGAGUGGUAUAGCCUCUCAUACAGUGUUCAAAGGCAGAUUUAACUCACUGCAGGUCCACAGCAACCGAUAAGAUAAACUCGUUGGUUAUGGUCUCCCACUUUGCAAAGGAGAGCACAGAGGAAGAGGAAACUGAGAUAACUUGGUUUAGGACCCCACAGCUGGCUGGAGCUGGGCUGAACAUUAGUUCAUUGUUUCUUCGAUUAAUCUAUGCUGCUUUUUCUCUACUUGGCUCCUUUUCUAAAUUAAACAAAACAAAACAAA